This 7280-nucleotide unclassified non-coding RNA is filed under the name Neodiprion pinetum (white pine sawfly). RNAcentral's name for it is "uncharacterized LOC124215168, transcript variant X9". Lineage: Eukaryota; Metazoa; Arthropoda; Insecta; Hymenoptera; Diprionidae. The record is from RNAcentral.
AAGUAGGUAUUUUUUAAAUUUAAUUCAAAGGAAAUACGGCGGGUUGAGAACCGUGACACCUUUUACCGCUAUCUGUCGGAGAAUUGUGCUCAACACCCUGACAAUUGUGACCGAGGUAUUCCACCUUAACGCCAGUGAACGGAAGAAGUUUGUGACGUGCUUAACCCAGAUUUUCCACCGUCAAAUGCUCGUGUUUGUACAACAGUUUUCUUAGCAUGUUAUGGAUGUGAAAAUGUGCUAAAUUUAUCGUAAAUUCAUUUAUUACUCAGGUGUUCGUGACAAUGUGUGAUAGCGCUAGCUGCCAGAACGUUAACUAGGUUUUAAAUAUCAAGCUUACGAUAAGUGUGGUGUUGGAGCAGAAGUAAUAUGAACAAUCCAUAUCGUGCGAGACCAGCUAGAGCUAGGGUGGAUCAUGCCGCAGUGUCAGGGUAUGGAUCUCAGAGUCAAAACACUUGGAGUUCUAUGCAGCCUGAGAGACGAUCAGGAAUUUUGCCAGCGAAUGUUUAUCAGCAACAGCCCAAUUCUCUGAUUCAACCUCAGCAGCAGCAGCAGCAGCAGCAACAGCAGCAGCCACAACAGCAAUCUCAUGAUCCCUGGGAUUGGGGUACCGAUAACGGUAAUAAUGGCAAUAGUGAUUCGUGGAAUUCAAACACUGAUCAAAAGUCAGAGUCUCUACAUCAGCUUUCUCAGCAUCAUCAAUUUCCUUCUGGCCGCACCAAUAAUAGUCAAAGUAUACAGAAUCCACAGCAGGGAAUGUAUUAUCCGAAUUUUAACAGAAAUAGUAGACCCAAUGUACUUAAUCAACAGCCUACUUCUGGUGGUAAUAUUCCACGAACGAGUCUAAGCAGAGAAUCUACACCAAGUAAUAAAGAUGGUUAUAAUCAAUACACGCCUUACGAAUAUAAUCAGCCACCACAACAGCAACAGCAACAGCAACAACAAUAUCAUUUACCACCUAGGCCUAAUUCUAAGUCAAGUCCUGCUGAUCAUUCGCAAUGGUCUAUCAGCAGUCAACAGACACCAAAUUUACCGUCCCUUGGUAAUAAUUCAGGUGCUCAGCUGGAUAACAUAAAAAAAAUACAGACUCCUCCACUUCCUCCUCAAACAAAUACCUACAAUUGGAACAAUAGCGACCAACAGUUGGAUCCUUCGCUUCGUAACUGGCAAAAUCAUAAUGCCACGUCAGUCAGUGGGUCCUGGCAAGAACCAUCGUUGGUAGCAAACAAGCAACAGCCCAUAGAAAAUAUUAAUCAGUCUCAACAGGGGCAACAGACUUCUCAAACGUUUGAUCCACCUAAGGAAUAUACUUCGCCAGGACAAUCCGAAUACUACACUAACUGGAACAGUCAACAACAUCAACAGAGUAAUUUGACUAAUCAAUGGCCCUCAAAUUAUUCACGCAAUACUUCAAAUGAAGCAACACAGCCUAUUCUGCAUCAGAAUAUGGGAACUACGGUUAUGAAUCAGUGGCAACAGCCAAUGUUUCAGCCACCUGUUCCUGCUGAAGAACCAGUAGGCACACAAUCCACUCCAUCAAUACUCAAUCAAGCUGAUCAAAAUGUUCCUUCAAAUCAAUGGCAACCACGGCAACCUCAAUAUGAAAAUGUAAUGCCAAAAGAUUGGACCCCUGCACAAAGGCCUGUGGAAUUGGUAGCUUCGGAAAAGGAUUCAAUUUCUGCACCUCAUCAACAACAUGACUCUCUUGAAUCAGCAAAAAAUAAUAAAAGUAUAAACGAUUGGCAACAUGCUCAGUCUCCUCCGUCACAUUUUGCAUCAUCAACAGGCUCUGCAGUUUCUCAUACAUCUAACACUGCGGAGCAAAUUCUAAGUGGUAACAAUCACAAUAAUGAAAGGAAGAGAUCUGUGGGUAUAUUAUCACCGAGUUCCUCGUUUGUAAAUGACUUGCCGAUACCAACAAAACCUAAUGCAAUUGAAAAAAAAAUUUCGGAUGAAUCAAAUUGGCCUGACGGUGAUGUUAAUGUAGCUUCAAAUGCUAUGGCUCAAAAUAACACCGAGGCAGAUUGGUCGACGACUGCGGAAUGGAAUACUAUUCCCACUGCCGAGUUGUCUAGUAGUUUUAGUCAUUUACGGCUUUCUAACAAAUCUAAUAGGCAAUUGGAAAAUCAGACCCUUUCAUCUGAUAUGCAUUCCUCAAGUCACUCUACAGAUGGCUGGAGUUCUCAACCUAUUUCAGGGUCAGAAAAUCCAUCAGAUAAUUCACCACGUGAAAGUGUAGCCAGUGCACAGCCAGAACCCUACCGUGAUUCAAGUGAAAGAGCUCAUGCUUUAGAGCCUGAACAAAGUUUGGAUAAUCCACUUACCACAUCUCAGUUUGAGCCUCAAGAACAUGUAUUACCUCAAACACAUCAACCUGAGAACAGUAGGGCUGCCGAAACUGUUCCACAAAAUGCUGGGUAUGAUCAAUGGUAUGCGCAGCGCAAUCCUGUGGCUCAAUCAGAAAAUAGUUGGUAUCGCAAUGAUCAUCAGGGUAAAUCACAAAAGUGGAUGCAUGAGCAGAACAUUGAAAAUUAUGAAAACAUACAGCAGUCUACUGAGUUUGGCAACUUGGAAGUUGUUACCCCUGUCCUGCAGAAACGGAAUAUUUAUGGAUCGCAUGAUUCCAUGAAUAGGGAAACAUUGGACAAUGAACCAAAGGCGAGUGUCAAUCAAAUAAAAGAAUCUAGUACUCCAAGAGACUUUCAAGAAGAUAUUAACAACGUAGAAGUACCUUCACUACUACAGACGCAACAAUCUCUUCAGGUCGAACAGGCCCCUGAUAAUUACGAGUUCGCAUCGAACGAUAGAAACACGUUUUUGGAAACUGGUGAACUAACAGAUUCUCAUCAACAACACGAACCCACUCCACCUAGCCAAGAUGACGAAAAUGACGAAGUUCCUAAUGAUAUUCCAUUCUUAAGGGAAGUUCCUGGUCAGUCUAGUAAUUCUGAUCCUCGUCGAAACGAUCCUACUGGGCAGGAGCAAAAUAUUCAAGUCGGUCCACGAAGCUUGGAUCCUCGUAGAAAUGAUCCGUCAGGUCAAGAACACACUGUUCAAUCAAUAAGAAAUAUCAGUGAUAGAACAGAGCGUAGAGAUGUUCCACCUGGUCAAGAACGCAAUGGUCCAUUACCAUCACGGACCGAUACAGAGCUACCUGAACGUAGAAAUGAUCCUUCUGGCAGAGAAAGGUCAUUACCCCCUCAACCACCUAGAAACGAUAGUGUAACAGACAAUCGAAGAAAUUUAUCGGAAACUAGGCGAAAUGAUCCUUCUGGGGAAGAAUGUUUGCAAUCGCAGCCAGUUGUGUCAGAGCCAGCUGAUCUGAGGGAAGUACCUGGCAGAGGAAACGAAAAUGAAGAACCUGUUCAGCAGGCAGACAGCGGCUUGCGCCAAAUUCCUGGUGGCGCAUCGCCCAGUGAAGAAAUUCAAGUGGCUAACGAUAGGGAUGAUGCAAGAGUAGUUACUGGAUCCCAGGAAGUAGCAGCCCUAAUCCCUGCAAGUACGAAACAUGAUCAAUCGAACGACUCUCUGAGCAAGCGGGAAGAAGCUGUUGGUGCUUCUUUGGGUGAGAGCCAAGGUGGUGCCGGGCAAAUAACCAGAAUUGAUUCCUACGAAGAAGGGGAUGAUGAAGGAUCGGGAAACAGUAGGGAUGAGAGCAGAGAACGUCGAAGGGAAAGAAGUCCAGAACGACGUGGUUAUGAAUACGACAGAAAAAGUAGAUACUACGAUCGUGACCGUGAUCGCGAUUUCGAUGAAGAAUACUAUUAUGAAUCGCGACGAGGAGGUGAUUUUGACCGCACUUAUAAUUCUCAAGAAGAUCUCGAUCGACGAGAAGGUCCGUACAGAGAUGACGAACGGCGUCAUACCAGUAGGGACGAUUUAGAUAGACGGGGAAGAGAUAAAGAUGAUCCAGAUAAUCAAAAAAUAAGAUCUAGGCCAAAGGAUGACCACGAAGAUAGAAGGAGAAGGGAUGACGACAGAAGAAAAGCACGAGAAGAAUUAGAUGCAAGAGGAAGAGACACCAGAGAUUAUGAUCCUAGAUAUUACCGAGACAGAGAAUACACUGAUCGAGACAGAAGAAGAGAGCCCGAUAGGCGAGGGCGCAGAUAUGAAGACUAUGAGCCUCGGGAUCACUACAGACGAGAUUACUAUGAAGAUCUGUAUGCUAGAAACUCCAGGCCAUCCAGUAGAUCAUCUUACAACGACAGAGAUCGAGAUUAUUAUCCUAGGUCAAGAGAUCCACAUUUUGGACAUAAUGUCUACGGUGGUGCAUAUGCGGAUUAUGGUGCAAAUUAUGGAUCCAGUUAUUACGCGUAUUUGGAGAAUAUGCGACGAACUAAUCCUGCUGCUUACAUGGAAUGGUAUCAAAAAUAUUAUGCCUCCCAACACCAACAAGCACAUGCUGUUAGAGGAAAUACUAGCUACCCUGAGGAUAGAGCCAGUGUUCAUUCAGGACGUAGCUCAUGUGACGAAAGUUUAUGUGACAGGACAACUGGAGACAAGCGUACGAUAGGUGAUAUUUCCCUAUUAGAAGAUACGACAAUUGGAUCGGCAAGACUGACUCCAACCAAGUUUUCCACAUCCCAUGUUCAAGCUAGUUUCUCCACUGGCUCGUUGGUUCACGUGCAUGCAAGUUAUCCGGCUGAUGGAGAACUUGCUAGAGUGGAUGUCCUUCGCGUGUCAAGUCUACUCGCACACGAUCCUGUUGUACGAGAACUAGUGGCAUAUCCUGGCCCUCUGAUUAAGCAAGUGGGUGUGACUCACAAGAAGACUAUCAUUGAAUACUGCGAAGCCAAGAUUAAAAAAGCAGAAUGCAGUGAAGAUGUGGAUGAUCCGGCGUCUUAUAUAUUGUUGUAUAAACUUAUGGUGAUGCUGAUUCGACAGAAUGGGAAUGUCGUUGGAGUUGACAUAGCAGAAUUAUUGCUCUCGAAUCAGAAGUCCUACCCAUACACUGGAAAGCAGCGAGAAGUGCGGCUCAGAAGAGAAUCUGUCAUUUCUCAAAAGUCUGUUGGUACAAGCGGUGAUGAGCUUAACAGAGACACCGUUACACCCUUGGACACAGACGAUACUGGAAACCUAAAUAAACCACUUUCCACUGAUCAGGUCACUGAUCACUUUAGGGAAUUGCUUUUAUAUGGUUGCGGCCAAGAGGCAUUGGAAUAUGCAAUGGAUAAGGGACUCUGGGGACAUGCCUUGUUCCUAGCAAGUAAGCUAGAUAAACGAACGCAUGCAUCUGUUAUGACUCGAUUCGCCAAUGGCUUGAUGGCAAACGAUCCGUUACAGACUUUGUAUCAACUACAAUCUGGUCGAGUACCUGCUAGUGUUACCUGUAUCGCAGAGCCAAAAUGGGGUGACUGGCGACCUCAUCUUGCGAUGAUAAUAUCUAACACAUCUCCUAAUCCUGAAAUUAAUCGAAAAUCGAUUACAACCUUGGGCGAUACUUUGUUUGCUCGAAAUCAUGUACACGCAGCCCACUUCUGCUACGUUUUAGCUCAAGUCGAUUUUGGACCUUACGGAAUGCCAAAUAGCAAGCUUGUUCUGCUCGGAUCGAAUCCUCACAAACCAUACAACGUUUUCGUAACAAACGAAGCUAUCAUGCUUACUGAGAUUUACGAGUACGCUCGCAACCUUAGCGAACCUGGUUUUACGCUAAUCGAUCUGCAGACUUUCAAAUAUGGACUGGCUGUAAAAUUGGUGGAUUAUGGACUCACUGAAAAGGCAUUGUUAUACAUCGAACAAAUUGCUGUAAAUAUCACUCGUGAGCCAUCAAAAUACCCGAUUUCGUUUGUGGAAAAGCUUCACAACUUGGGUGACAGAAUUAAGUACAGUGAUCCAGUAUGUAAGGAUUCAAUCGAAGAUGUCGCUAAUCUUGGAUGGUUGAACAGCCUGGUAGAAAUCCUCAAUAAAUACAAGACUGGUGAGAUAAUUAAAGAUGGAACGUAUGACGCACAAAAUGAUAGCACUAACCAACAACGAGAACAGUAUGAAAGUCAGCAAACACAACAGCAAUGGGUUGUAGCUCAGUCUGAAUAUUCAGAUGGUCCAACUUCUCUUAUGGAACCCACUACAUCCGACGUGAAAAGUGAUUGGCAGCCAAUGUCUUUGCCUAACGCAGUUCAAGAUCCGUAUAUACCAAGCGGUCAAACUUCGCAAUACAUCGAAAAUUCAGUUGACUCAGCUCAGCACCAGCAACCGCAAUCGCAGGUAGAUUAUUGGAGACAGCAAAAUUACACUCAACCUGAGUAUAGUGCUCCAGAUUAUUCUACCGAGUGGCAACAACACUCGGAACAGCUCCAAUAUCAGAAUGAACAACCAGACAAUACGGAUAAUGUACAACAAGAAUGGAACUAUGAGUCAGAGAAGGAAGAGAAGCCACCUACGCCUGAUCCUCAUCCAGUGAUAAGUAUGGGACCAUCCACAAAUAAGCAAUACGACCCGUUAGCAGAACUUGACGCUUUGGAUACGCCAGGGCAGACUCCAAAACCAGAUGGAGAAAAAAAGAAAGCACCUGGAAAACAAACGGAAAAGAAAAAUUCAAGCAGUGGGGGUUCGUGGUUUGGAGGAUUCUUCAGCAAACUUGCUCCAAAACCAAAAAAUCAGAUGAUUUUACCUGACGAUAACAACCCAGCAAUUGUGUGGGAUGCAGUUAGCAAAAAGUGGACAAACAAAGAUGCAGAUGGUGAGGAUAGCUCUGGUGCCUUGGCGCCUCCACCAAAAGCUUCGGAAAUGGGUUUCAGACCACCACAAACAGAAUCAGUGCUUCCGCCAAUGACGAUGCAGUUGUCUGGUGACAAUAAAGUGGGCCAACUAAACGACAGUUCUAACAGCAAUGUUCAUAAACCACCUUCUGGAAACAACAUGUUCAAAAUGCCGAGAGGCCGAAGCGCAAGGACAAAUUACAUUGAUAUAAUGAAUCCUGGAGGAUCUAAGACUGGUGGCGUUGCACCAUCUGUAACACCUCCUAUAACUGCUGCUCCGGUACCUCUUGCUGCGUCAUCGCCUCAAUUUUUCAUUCCUGCACCAGUUAAUGAUCCAGGUGCUCCGGUUGACUUUUUGACAUCUGCUUCAGUAGCCAAUGGUGACAUUACGCAGCAGGGGUCUGGGGAGAAGAAUGGCAUAGCCAACUAACAAUUGUUACAAAUACUCUCUCGGUGGAGCUCGGCAAGCUCGCUUUCACGAGAGGUACAGAGCUACACUAUGAGGGAUCCGCGUCUCCUUCAACAAGAAAAGGGACCAAUGAUGUUCAAUCCAACAGACGUGAAGGAUUCCACUCUCAAAAAGGC